Carya illinoinensis is the source of this 1186-nucleotide long non-coding RNA. RefSeq lists it as uncharacterized. The transcript is spliced from 2 exons. The record is from RefSeq and is a predicted model, not a curated record. NCBI's taxonomy places the organism in Eukaryota, Viridiplantae, Streptophyta, Magnoliopsida, Fagales, Juglandaceae.
GAAAAAAAAGAAAAAAAGAAAGGUGGCCCCAGAUUGAACCUGCCUUCAGUCCCUUGAGCGUACACAAAAUAAUUGAAAUCCAUCUCCAUCGAACCCCUAUUGUAUUCUUUCCCAGCAAGGCCUCGUGACUAUUUUUUGUUUUUUGUUUUUUUUAUACCUUUGGUAAAAAGUUGAUUGGAGUUUUUCAGCCACUCCAAACCAUUGAUAUCUCUGCCACCUGAUCUACAAUGACCAAGAGUUGACUGGCGUGCAAGACUCACAACCCGCCUCUCAAGCCACUUGUAUAUGUCACAUGUGCCUGGGGGUCGUCGGAGCCCAAAACGGCAAAACUUACACCAACUACGACUCCGAUCGGGGUGUGAUUGGGUCAAGGCUCACUUUCGAUGGCCCAGGCCCAAUUUUGAAUUGCACAGCCCACUUCCGAAGGCCCAAGGCCUAUUAUCAAUUUUGUGCAUCUGAAAUACUGUAAAAAACAAUACCAACAUUCUAACAUUGUCAAUAGAUUAUGCAUAUAUAAAAAUAGAAAAAACCUUCCUGCAGGAGCCUCUGUUAUUCUUCAACCAAUGGAGUCAAAUGGAAACAUGUCAUGUAAAAGCCAUAUGAAAAAAUGGGUAGACCGCACAGCAUAAGAUUUAAAAAAAAAAUUCACUCUUCGUGCGACUAGUCCGUCCUCCCCCCCCCCCCCCCCAAAAAAAAAAGAAACUCUCUCUCUCUCUCUCUCUCUCUCUCUCUCUCUUUGUGCCAAUAAAGCCUUCGAGGAUCAAGGGCCCUCUCUCUCUCUCUCUCUCUGAGGAUUUCGUCCCUUCCUUUAUGUUUUUCCUUCUCUUUCCUUUUCUCUAAUGUGUUGGUUUUUUUCCCUGCAACCUAUCUAUUUGUUAUCUCACACCUUGCACUUACAGCGGUACUAGUUUUUCAAGCGAUAUGAAACACACUGACAGUGAUACUUGUUCAACUUCUUGGACUUCAAGAGCAAAAAACCAAGCUGAUUUGGAGAGAUUAGUUUUAUUAUUGUCAUGGUUCUAUUUUGUUAUGAUUUGUGCUAUAAUUAUUUUGUAUUAAAUUUUGUAAUCCAAACUAGUACUUUUGGAAUGUAUCUACAUCUUUUUUAAUGUAACGAAAGACUAAAUGUACUUCUCCUGCAUGUAAUGCUAAUGUUUUGUAAUGUAAUGAGCAUUAUGUUAAAGUA